UCCGCCCGCUACUUCCAAGCCAAGCUGUGUAGACUCCAUCCUCCUCCUCCUCGAGUCAUCCUUCAGUUCAGACUGCCAAUCGAGCGGCAAGCACUCUGACUUUGGCCGCACGCCAUGAAUCGCAGCAGGCUCGUUGUUUGGUUGCUCUUCGUCGUCGUCUUCCUCGCGUGUUCUUGCGCCGCCCCCGUCUGCGCCUCCUCGUGCCUUCUCGUUGCUGCGGCGGCCGGUGACGCGAGGAGGGUACCAGCAGCUGCCGCCGGCUUUGCGACGGUGAGCCGCCGCAGGGUUCCCGGCAGCAGGAACGUCCCUAAACAAAACAGGCGGCUGUUGAGGACGAGGACGACGUCGCUGCCGCCCCCGCCGCUGCCGAACAAGUUGAGGGCCACGGCGAUGCCCGCGCCCCCGCCGCCGAUCAUCUGAUAGAUAGAUACCAACCUUUCUGCUGCUUUCUACUCUCUCCCGUGCCUUACCGAUUACCAUUGCCUGGGCGGGCAUGCUCUACUGUCUGCUCUGCAUACAGCGGAGUUGCAUGCACAUGGCAAAGCUCUUGCUGCUGGUUGGUGCGUAUGCAACUGUCGCCAUGGCGAUAAUGUCGCUAGUGUUUCUGUUUAUUUUAUUGAGUUGAAUGUACGAAUAAUUUAUAUUAAAAGUUUAUUGUUGGUGGAGAGUGUCU
Molecule: long non-coding RNA, 673 nt
Organism: Panicum virgatum (switchgrass)
Lineage: Eukaryota; Viridiplantae; Streptophyta; Magnoliopsida; Poales; Poaceae
Exons: 2
Source: RefSeq, a predicted model, not a curated record